UGAAUUUCAAAUGAUGAGGUAUUUAAAUUUGAUACUUCAUUUGAAACGCAAUUUCAAAUCUUCAAUCAUUUCAAAUGCACAUCUCUGUAAAUGGAGCCUAAGAUAAUAUCAUUUGCUAGUUUGCAGUCAAUUUAUAAUGAUCUGAAUAUAUUCAGAUAAACUUAGUUUUCUAGAUCCUCUUGUCAUUAGUUCUAUAACUUGACUUCUCUUUAAAAAAUUCCUGAUCUCAUUGGAUUUCAGUGGAUGUAUUCUCUAAUUGCACAUCUGAUGUCUAUUUCUUUUGAGUGCUAUAAUCUACCAAAACAUUUGUUUCUUCAAUGUAUAUUAUUUAUAGAAUGUGAACAGAAAUGCAGUGGAGAGAAUUGGCACUGACACCCAACCAAAUAUUUUCUUCUUUAGUUUUGCUGAAAAAUGCAAUUUCAAGCAUAGACUUUUGCUCUGGCAUUAAUGCUGGAUUGCUGCUCCAUAAGCUGAGAGAUGUAGUAAGAGCUUAGCUCUUAGUUAGGGAAGGAGCGCAUAGAAAGAGCCUUAUAGAAAAUACAUUCAACCUUCCUCCUUUGUAGAGCAUCCAGGGACAGGAAUUGAUUGUGCUCCAUAUUACAUACCUGUGGUUGCUUGCUCACCCAAUCUUCUCCUCCUCAACAACCACCAAAUGAACAUGGAUAGAUAACCUUCCCUCUGGAGCAUCCAGUGGCAGGAUUUACUUGUGCUCCAUACCCAUGCAUUAAUUUUCUUACUCAAUAUUCAACAAUCCACCCCCAUCAAUG
This 767-nucleotide unclassified non-coding RNA is filed under the name Hevea brasiliensis (rubber tree). Lineage: Eukaryota; Viridiplantae; Streptophyta; Magnoliopsida; Malpighiales; Euphorbiaceae. The record is from RNAcentral.